GACGAACGCUGGCGGCGUGCCUAAUACAUGCAAGUCGAGCGGACCGACGGGAGCUUGCUCCCUUAGGUCAGCGGCGGGCGGGUGAGUAACACGUGGGUAACCUGCCUGUAAGACUGGGAUAACUCCGGGAAACCGGGGCUAAUACCGGAUGCUUGAUUGAACCGCAUGGCUCAAUCAUAAAAGGUGGCUUUUAGCUACCACUUACAGAUGGACCCGCGGCGCAUUAGCUAGUUGGUGAGGUAACGGCUCACCAAGGCGACGAUGCGUAGCCGACCUGAGAGGGUGAUCGGCCACACUGGGACUGAGACACGGCCCAG
Molecule: ribosomal RNA, 317 nt
Filed under: uncultured bacterium
Lineage: Bacteria
Description: bacterial SSU rRNA
Rfam family: Bacterial small subunit ribosomal RNA
Source: RNAcentral